RNAcentral lists this ribosomal RNA (494 nucleotides) under uncultured bacterium. RNAcentral describes it as "partial 16S ribosomal RNA". It matches the Rfam family "Bacterial small subunit ribosomal RNA", at positions 28 to 507 of the family's 1533-position model. The record is from RNAcentral.
GACGAACGCUGGCGGCAUGCUUAACACAUGCAAGUCGAACGGAAAGGGCGGCUUUCCUUUUUGACUUACGGGUGCACGCGUGGCGAACGCGUGUGUACCACCUGAGUGCUCUGGCACCAACUUUGCUAUAAGCCGGGAAUACUGCUUCCAAUCCCCGAUAGAACUGCUGGGAUGUUCGUUCAGUGGCAAAGGAUCUUCUACUGGUUGGGGAUGGGUUGGCGGUGUAUCAGCGUGUGGGUGGGGUAAUGGCCUACCAAUGCGGCGACGGGGAGGCGGACUGAGAGGGGGGACGGCCACAUUGGGACUGAGAUACGGCCCAGACGCCUACGGGAGGCAGCAGUGGGGAAUAUUGGACAAUGGGCGGAAGCCUGAUGCAGCGACGCUGCGUGGGGGAUGACGGCCUUCGGGUUGUAAACUCCUUUCGACCGCGAGGAAGCCACCUGGUGGGAGGGGUGGUGACGGUAGUGGGAGAAGAAGCACCGGCUAACUACGUG